CGAGAUGAGGAAAAUAAAGAUGCCAGUGACUCUGAUGAUGAUGACGAUGAUGAUGAGGACAACGCUGAUGAAGACGAUGAUGAUGAUGAUGAUGAUGCUAAUGAUGAAGAUUUUUCAGGGGGUGAAGGAGAGGAAGCUGAUCCGGAGGAUGACCCGGUGACCAAUGGUGGGGGAGGAAGCGAUGAUAAUGAUGAUGAUGACGAUGACGGGGAUGAGAGUGGUGAUGAUGAUGGAGAUGAGGAUGAGGAGGACGAAGAUGAGGAUGAUGAGGAAGAUGACGAAGAUGUUCGCCAGCCGCCUGCUAAGAAGAGAAAAUGAAACAUGAGAAAGAGGGGAUUGUUCAAGACUUGAAGAGGACCAUAUGUGUUGGUUUAAGUAGUGUAGGGGAAACUUAUGCUUCAUGUUGUGUACUAUUUGUUGUCGUGUGUGACUUGUCUACUUGGAUUUUAGUUAUCUUGGCUGUUGUAGAAUGUUGUUCUCUUCUUUUUGUUUUUGCAUCUGCCUAUGAAUAUGAUUCGCCGUGCUUCACAUUUUCUUUGUUGUUGCAAUUUUUCUUUCCAUUGUUUCAAAUGUUUAAAAGGAAACUCCACCAACACUAUACUAUGUUUCAUGUAUCCCAUCACGUUCUCACAUUACUUGGACCAUAGGAACUCUCUUCAUUCUAAUCAGUUCGUUUGGAUUGCUUGUCACUUGUAUGGGUUUUCUUGAGUUGACAAACCAGACAACAAGUAUUCACGUGGUUGUGGUUGCGAGACAACUAACUUUGGGUUCUUCAACAAUAUCCUAGUCUAGGAUUUAGUUCUACCAUACCGCCGGACCAUUUAGAUCAUGUCGGUUUAGGAUCGAUCUUGCCUUUUUCGAUGAGCCGGAUCGAUUUCGGUUUAGUUGAACAAAGUGUGUUCGGACUCUGAUACCAUGUUAGGAGAAGAUGGUUUUCAGAUAUCUCAAUUGAGUUUACACGAUACAAUAUAUACAGAGAGGUAGGAGACACUAGGUUAACAUAAUUACAAAUGUUCCAUAUUUGGAAGAGAAGAAUAUUGCAGCCUUUUGAAGAAGCUAACCCAGCAUUGGUGUCACACUUGUGAGUUUAACAAUCAGGAAAAGUCUCAUUGAAGUCUAUUUCCCCCUUGUUAGGUGAACCCAUUUGCUACUAGGCCAAAUUAUACAUUUGUACCAUCAUAAUUGGACUUAAUAGUUAAAUCCAUUUAGACCCAAUAACAUUUUUUUCAUAACCUUUUCUUGUUCAGCACACUAAAAAUAAAUGUAAAUGUGAUAGAUAUUACAAAUGAUUGAUUAAAGAAUGACAAUGCAUAUACAAAUGUUACAAAAGCUGAUCAAAGAAUGACAGUGCACUAGACAAUAUACAAGCAUAACGAUUCAUGAAAUAAGAGGAAUAUGAAGGCUAAAGUAGAAGUAGUCAGUAGGAAUAAUCAUUAUAAAGUUGAAUACGUUUUUGCUGCUGUUGAGAUAGAUGAUGUAUAUCCUUAACAAUGUCGAACACUGCCUCAGGCUGCGCCAACUUAAGAGCAUUCUCUGACAUUUUAUAUAAUUCGUUUUUCUUGCUGCUGAACCAAUAAUGACCUUCAAUUAAUGACGAGACAACAAAAGUUUCUGCAGAAAAAGUCUACAGUAACAACUUUAUAGUUACAACCGAUUUAUUUACAGCUAAACAUCUACAGUUAAAUUUUUAAAGCUACGGUCGAACCGAUCAUCACCAAUAAUUUAUAAAUUGAUUAACUAGUAAACAGCUUUAUAAAAUAUUGAAAAUGCUUUAUUAACCGAGACAAAGCAAACGUGAGACAACCAUGAAUAUAAUUAAUAGAAAAAAACUAAAAUAAUUAAAAAUUAAAAGUUACCGUAGAAUAACUAACCUAAAUCUAAAAAUACUAGUUCAACUUUUAAUACAUAAAAUUUUGUUUGAUGUUGAAUUAAUACUUUAGUUUAGCAAUUUUUAAAAAUGGAUAGCUUAAAAUUAACUUAUAUAUAAUACAUUGUAAUUCAAACAUAAGUUAAAAAUAAUUAUUUUGAAUUAUAUCUCUAAAGCAAACUUAAACAAUAAUAAUUCAUAUCACCAGUCAAAGCCUAUAUUAAAAAAAUAGAAAUAAUCAUAAAAAGAAAGAGGCAGCGCAUCAUUCCAACAGAAUUAAAAACUACAUUGGAAAUAAAUAAAAAGAAAGAAAUCAGGGAAAUGUGAUUCGAGGAAGAGAAGAAAACCGCGUCAAGCGGGAUAUCAAAUCAAUCGUGUUGUUAACACGUCUGCCAUUGAUUCUCUAUCACGAUUCGAUUAAAACAUAAAAACACUGAAACGAGAGAAUAUACAAAAAAAAUAAAAACAAUCUCGAAAAACACAAAGACAGAAUGUUGUGUUCCAGAUCUAAAACAGUGUUCGUACUUUUCUCAUUCCUUCUUGUCGCCACUGGAAUAUCUAUUGCUGGUAAGAAAGAAAGAAAGAAAGAAAGAAAAAAUAAUUCAACAUUCUUGUAUUUUGAUUUUGUCUCUGUUGAUAUGUUUUUACUUCUAAUUUUGGGUUUGGAUGGUUUCAGAAAAGGAAGCAGCAAGUGUUGAAGAAGAAUGGGGGACAAGUGUGAAAGAAAGGUUUAUGGCAGAGGAAAAAGGAGAGAACUCGUCUCUGAUUUUGGCUGCAAACAGAACAAAGAGGAAAGACCCUACUGAGAAUUUCAACAUUUACACUGGUGGAUGGAACAUAAGCAAUACCCAUUAUUGGACUGUGAGUCCUUUCUUUUAUUUUCUGUGGUCCUAAGUUUUCUCUGUUGCUAGUGGAGUUUGUUUGCUUAAUCAAACGGGAUUAGCAUUCAUUAGUUCUCUCUCUUUUUGAAGCUUUUUUGACUUUUUUUUUUCUCAUUCUUUGCUUUGUGUGUGCAUGCAGUCUGUUGCUUAUACAGCGACGCCUUUCUUUGUGAUAGCAGGAGUCUGGUUUGUGGUCUUCGGGCUAUCCUUGUCUCUCAUUUGCCUUUGCUAUUGCUGCUGUGCCCGUCAGCCUUACGGCUAUUCCAGGGUUGCUUAUGCUCUCUCCCUUAUCCUCCUCAUAUUAUUCACAAUCGCUGCAAUGUAAAUUGUCUUUUCUCUGGCUCUUUUUUUUGUCAUUCUUUUUUUUAAUUAAAAUAAGCUUUUUGUGUUUGAUAUUUUCCAGUGUGGGAUGUGUUUUCCUUUACACGGGCCAAGGGAAAUUUCAUGCUAGCACAACAGAUACUUUGGACUAUGUGGUGAGGCAGGCAAAUUUCACGGCGGAAAACCUCAGGAAUGUGUCGGAUUAUCUCAAUGCAGCUAAGAAGGUGGAUGUGCAAUCCAUCGUUCUUCCAGGGGAUGUUUUAUCGAGCAUCGACAACAUACAAGGAAAGAUCAACUCCUCUGCAACUACUCUUUCUGUUCAAACAAUGGAGAACCAAGACAGGAUUCAAGAUGUCUUGGACAACAUGUAAAAAAAUACACAAUACCAUAGUGUUAUCCUUUUUAUUUUCUUCACCUUUUUUUGCUUAUGAUUUGUUGCAGGAGACUUGCGCUCAUCAUCAUCGCUGCUGUGAUGCUUUUUCUAGCGUUCAUUGGAUUCUGUAAGUCUAGGGAUUAUUAUUAUUGAUUACAUCUCGCAGCAGCACUUUAACUUGUUGAUUAUUUUUAUUGUUGUUACAGUACUCUCUAUCUUUGGACUGCAGUGCCUUGUAUACACGUAAGUGAAGUCUCAUUCUCAUUUUCCACGUGUUACCGUUUUAUGCUGAUAAAAAAUUACUUUGUGAUUUAACAAUGGACAGGUUAGUGAUCCUUGGUUGGAUUCUUGUCACCGGCACUUUCGUCUUAUGUGGUCUAUUUCUCCUUCUACACAAGUGAGUUUUUUGUUCAAUUUGUCUUACUCAAUGCAUUAAAAAAGGUUUCUCAAUAAAAGCAUUUCUUAUGCCUUUGUCAGCGUUGUUGGGGAUACGUGUGUGGCCAUGGACCAAUGGGUGCAACACCCGAAAGCUCACACCGCUCUAGACGAUAUUCUACCGUGCGUUGAUAACGCAACCGCGACCGAAACAUUGAGUCAGACAAAGCUUGUGACGUACCAGUUGGUUGAAAUUGUUGACAAUUUCAUGAACACCAUCGCCAACAAGAACUUCCCGCCUCAAGCCCGACCCCUUUAUUACAACCAGUCAGGCCCCCUAAUGCCUUUGCUCUGUAACCCCUUCAAUGCUGAUCUCUCUGACCACCUGUGCAAGCCCGGUGAGGUCCAUCUCAGCAAUGCAACUGAGGUAAAUUAAAUACUAAUUUAAAACAGAACAUAUCUUUGUAUAUUUUGUUUUGUUUCAUAAUGUUUCUUAUGGUAUGUUUUUUUUAUGCAGGUGUGGAAGAACUACACUUGCGAAUAUAUAACACCGGGAAUAUGUAGCACGCCCGGACGUCUGACCCCAAACCAUUACACCCAGAUGGCUGCAGCAGUUAACGUAAGCUAUGGUCUGUACAAGUAUGGUCCAUUCCUGGCAGAUCUGCGAGGGUGUAACUUCGUAAGGUCCACAUUCACUGAUAUAGAGAGGGAUCAUUGCCCGGGACUGAGGAGAUACACGCAGUGGAUCUACGUGGGUCUUGUGCUGGUGUCUACUGCUGUAAUGCUGUCUUUGGUGUUUUGGGUUGUAUACGCGCGGGAGAGGAGGCACCGUGUUUACACCAAAGACUACAAUGCUAUGCAUUCUGAAGCUCCACGGGACAAGGGUCCGCAGUGAGAUGUUCUGUACUUUUUGCCAGUUUUAUGUAAAUUAUGUGUUUGAGAUGUCUGGUGAGAUCUUUUGUGUAGUGAAUAAUGGAAGGAAACUGUGGUUGUGUGGUUGUUGUCACUAAUGUUCUUUAUAAUUGAUAUGUUGAGAACUACUUCGAAAUUGGAGAUGUACUGUUUUGUGGAAGUACAACCCAUCUUUGUGUUUCUUGUCGGAGAGGACAAAUCUUCAAUUCUUUAUUACUAGUAUUGCUUACCAAAAGCAUUUCUUUAUGAGCUGAUACUAGUUUCGAUAGCUGUAAUGUCUUUGAUCACUUGAAGAUGGGGGACUGAACCUAGAGGCUACUAGUACUCAUAGCACUUUGAAUGGUCGAUAAUUUCUUCACCUAAAGUUAAUGAAGAGCCUUAUGUUGUGCGUUACAACUACUUACGAGUGUAACCUCGUUUGUUGGUGUUGAAUGGGUUCACGUAAGAGAAAAGAGUAAUAUUCCUAGUGAUUGAAGGAGGCUGUUCAAAAAAAAAAAACAAAGAGAUAAAAAGUGCUCAAAUAGACUUGUUUUACAAAAUAUAACAUGACUGACUUGAAAACUCUAAACCUAACAGGUGUAUGAAAACCAAAACCAACUCCUAAUGGAUCUAAACUUACUCUUAAUGGGUUUAGUGAGAAAUUCUAAAACUUUAAAUCUUGUUUAAUCGGAGUUUAAACCAAGUGGCCCGCCCUCUAUCCUUCACAUGGGUCAGCUCAUCUUUUUCUUGGACAAACUUGAUUAAAAGUCCAAAGACUUCUUUCAAGGCUGUAGUCUUUGAUCUUGUCAUCUGUCCAAUAUAACAGACAAGUGGAUCAUGUGCUUGGUUGUCCAUCCCAUCUUGUGCCGCAGAAGUCUUAUCUUGGCUAACCACUUCUUGGGUUCGAUCCAGCUGAUAGUUAUCUAGACCGUUUUGCUGCUUAGUUCACUUUGUCGAGCAAAAUGCUCUUAUUGAUAAAUUUCCAUGUCCAGGUCUUCAUCUCCAUUUUUUGGGUCUAUGUCCGACCAUAUCGCAUCACCCGACCAUAGGUCAUAUUCCAUUUCGCGAUCGUCUGUCCUGUUCAUCUCUCGACCGUCCGUCCUUCUCAUGUCCAUUUCGUGACCACAUUUCCUUGUUCGAUCCAUUUCGUGCUGGUCCAGUCCUCAGCUGUCGGUUCAUCCAAGUAAAGCUCAUGUCGCCCAUCUCAGUCAACAUAUACCUUUGGUUCCAAUGAUGACCGCAUCAGAAAGUGCAACGUUAGCUUGAUAUAUUUGUUCAUGAUAUCCACGGAGUCUCCAAGUGAUUUCUUUUCAACAAUUGUAUUCUUAACGUAUUUUAACUCAAACCAACAAAUCCAAAAUUUAUUAGAAUUUAUAUAUCAAAUGAAAUGAUAUAAUUAAAAUGAAUUGAUAUAAAUAAAAUGAUUUUUAUAAAAAUGUUAUCCUAACUUUAUUAAAAUUUAAAUUAAAUUAAACAGAAAUAAUUAAACUAAUAUAAAAAACAAGACUACAAAAAUAUAUUUAUAGUUUUUUUUUCAAACCAAUGAAGUUAAAGCAUAGAAAUACUAGUGUCAAAAUCUAAAUUAAAAUUUUAAAAAUAAAUAAUAUAUUAUAUUUAUAGUUGUUAUUUGUGGACAUGGCUCAUAAAAACUCUUAUAAAGGCUGGCUUAAUCUACAGACUACAGAUGAAAAAAAACUCCUUUAAAUACAAAAACCCUACAGGGACGAAAAUUUAGGGUACUUGACCGGAUCUAAGCUAUUCAGGUUUUCCACACUCCCUUUUUUAUCUCUCUUUAUCUGUCUCCUCCUCCCCUGUAGACUUUGGCUUUCUGUCUCCUCAUCUCUUACUGUGAGUCCUUUUCGAGUAGAUAUGGAAGUGGCUGCCCUCAGGUCGAUGGAGACGCAGAGACAAUGGACUUGUUCUGCCACUGAGACGCUUCUCUUCCUCGUUGGAAGGAAUCUGGCUUGUCUGCUUCUCGCGGUAUACAACUGUUUCCUUAAUUUUAAUUUAUAACUCUUGUUUCACUUUGUGUUCUGUUGGAUUUGUCAUUUAUUCAAAAACCGUCCAUCCUGGAGUUGUCUCUGUGUUCCUGAAUCCAAGGCUUAUUAGAUUUUCUUAGAUUUUCUGCUUUAGGGAUACGAUUUGGGAUGGAUUUUGUUGUUUGAAUUUAGACAAGCACUUUAGCUUCUGUUAUGUCUUAAUUGGUUCGAGACGGGUCUUUGUACAAUUGAAGUUGAAUGCAGAGUUUAACAAUGUCAAAUGUACACUCUGUUAACUUGUCACGUUUACUUUUUGUCUAUUUGCAAUUGCUAUUUAUAUUGAUAUUUAUAUAAGGAUGUGCUCUUCUUGGAUUUUGUAUGAUAUAGUAAACACACAAAGACGAGUCUGCCUUUGAAAAUGUUUAAACCCUUACAGAUUGACUUUAGGUUUAUUUUGUGUACCUUUUAAGCUUCCUUUUGUGAUUUCAAUGUUUGUUUGUUAUGUGCUAUAUUGACAUUUGCCAUUUUUCAUGAUCCUUUUUAACUUGUGUUCUCGCUGAACUUUGCAUUAAUACACUAUGGAUAGUUCAGUAUUGUAUAAAAUUUCAUAAAACCUUGUCUAACAUUCAUCUUUUUGUUCUGUGAUAUCGCAGGCAGAAUCUUUGCUGAUAGGGUUGAUUGCUGAAGAUCAGAGGUGAGCAUAAGGGCCACACUUUUCAUUUUUCCCCUUCUUUUAGAUUGUAGCAGAUUUGAAUUUGACUUGUCUCUAGGCUUUCUGUGAAGGAGGGCUACAAAAAAGGACACCGAGAUGAGGAAAAUAAAGAUGCCAGUGACUCUGAUGAUGAUGACGAUGAUGAUGAGGACAACGCUGAUGAAGACGAUGAUGAUGAUGAUGAUGAUGCUAAUGAUGAAGAUUUUUCAGGGGGUGAAGGAGAGGAAGCUGAUCCGGAGGAUGACCCGGUGACCAAUGGUGGGGGAGGAAGCGAUGAUAAUGAUGAUGAUGACGAUGACGGGGAUGAGAGUGGUGAUGAUGAUGGAGAUGAGGAUGAGGAGGACGAAGAUGAGGAUGAUGAGGAAGAUGACGAAGAUGUUCGCCAGCCGCCUGCUAAGAAGAGAAAAUGAAACAUGAGAAAGAGGGGAUUGUUCAAGACUUGAAGAGGACCAUAUGUGUUGGUUUAAGUAGUGUAGGGGAAACUUAUGCUUCAUGUUGUGUACUAUUUGUUGUCGUGUGUGACUUGUCUACUUGGAUUUUAGUUAUCUUGGCUGUUGUAGAAUGUUGUUCU
Molecule: long non-coding RNA, 7970 nt
Filed under: Brassica napus (rape)
Lineage: Eukaryota; Viridiplantae; Streptophyta; Magnoliopsida; Brassicales; Brassicaceae
Description: long non-coding RNA (BNAP_LNC007362)
Source: RNAcentral